RNAcentral lists this long non-coding RNA (1988 nucleotides) under Sus scrofa (pig). RNAcentral's name for it is "lncRNA (ENSSSCG00025037470.1)". The record is from RNAcentral. Lineage: Eukaryota; Metazoa; Chordata; Mammalia; Artiodactyla; Suidae.
GGCUGACUCGGAACCUGCAAGUGGCCCAGCCCUCAGGGGUCUAGAAAUGGAAACUCCGAAGGCUUUCAGUUCACAAGACCAUUUCAAUGUCAGAGCUGAGGCGAGCAAAGGAACUCGCGUCAACCCUUCAUCAGCCAGGAAAGGAAACUGCAGCCAGGAACGCCCCACCCUGCGGGGCCCCUGUGGCCGCCACGCCUGUCCUCAGACCCACACAAACACCACCGAAGAGGGAGCCCCAGUGCCCUCAGGUUUCCUGGACCUAUUCUCAGCACCCACCCUCCCUCCACCUGACCUGGCCUUUGUUUUCCUAGCCCCGGUCGCGUUGCCUUUUGGACUUGAUCCUUGCCAGGUUCUUGCUGUGGCCUUGAAUCCAGUUAAAAGUGCGGCGCUCUCACAGCUGGUGCAUUGGUUCUGCUGCCUCUGGCACACACGCCUCCCUUUUCAGUGGGGCCAGGAGUACCGUGCGUCAGAAGAAUGUUCCCCAGUCUCCUGGGGGCUGGCUUAGUUUCCGGGGUUGCAUUUCCUUUCUCUCUCUCUCUUUCUCUCACUCGCUCGCUCUUGUAUUUUUUUAUAGCUGUGGGGAGCAGUAUUUAAGGACUUUUUGGGUGAACAUGCCAUAUGCCUUCUUUAUCGAGCAGUAGGAAUCAGCAGGAGGAUAAAGGAUGCUCUUAAAGUGACAGGAAGAAAUCAAAAGGGCUCUCAGCCUCCCCGUCAGGGGGAAAAUUCUAAGCAAGUUCCUGCCAUCGAUGACCGAAUCUGCAUCCUCUAGAUGCUAUGGGGUGUCCUGAAACAUUCAUUUCCCUGCUCUGAGCCUUCGUUUCCUUUUCGGUGAAGUGAAAACAACACUCCAAUCUUGGCAAUGUCGUCAGGUUGCUCCCUGGACCAGAGCAGAUACUGGUUGAGGAAGUACUUGGGACGCUUGGGAAGCCCUGUGACCUUGACACAGGGCACCCAUGUCGGUUCUCAGCCCCAUCUGGGUUGGGAUCUGUGUAUCCUCCUCUGGGUCCGUCAGUCCUGGUUGUGUUCAGCCGCCCCCUGCAGAGGCUUCUCCGUUUCCAGGAUGAGAGAACAGCAGCCGCAUGUGUUAGACGCAUCAAAGUAGCAGGGAUCGAAGGCCUGCAGACACCUUAGGAUGCCUCAGACGAUGAAGCCAAGCCUCAGAAGGCAGGAAUGACCGAACCAGGACCACCUCCCAUUUCUUCCCUCCUACCACCAAAGAACCAUCCAGAAAAAAAGACUGCAACAAAUCAGCAUCGCUCUUGGUGAUGUCUGCUGCCUCUGAGGCAGCCUGGCCUCAGCACCCCUCCCCCCGCCCCAGGGGUUCAGGCUGUGGGGUGACAUUUCCUGCUCCUGUGAGGCAGAGGGCCUGAGGAAGAACAAGAUCAAGAGGAAUCCCUGGCUCCAGUGUUUUCCAAAGCCUUUCAGUCAGAAAGGCCUUGCUUCAGCCUGAAUCCGAGGCAGAGGCCCUGUCAUCUUCCCCCCAGCCUCCCUGCCCCAGGCCGCUGGCCCGGAGAAGCUGGAGGCCAGCCCCGGGGCAGUGAGGAGCCAGCAGGCUGCCGUCAGAGGCGAGAGGGCCGCCUCUAAAUCAGUCGUGCUCCGGUGGGAGGGCCGGGCCAGGCUCGGAGGGGAUUUUCCUCGAUUAUAUUGAAAGCAUGACAAUGGUGAGGGAAAGGAGCCGAGUUCCCACAGAGUGUCCGGUCACUCCUGUGGGGGCUGUGGGAGCCGGGCCUGGCUGCCUUUUUCUCUCUGGGCAGCAGCACACACAGUUUUUAAUAAUUAAGUAACUUUAAUUGUCCUGGGAAAGCAGAGCUCGCCUUGGGGCACGCCGCACCAACUCAUAAUUAAUGUUACCAAGAGAGAUUAGCAAAGGAGAACUGAGAAAUGAUUCACUUUUUAAAAAGCGCCUCACUGUUAAGCCUUAUUAUACCAAGUUUAGAACCUCAUUUAUCUGCUUUGAGGAAAAAAAAAAAAAAAAAAAAAAAAAAAAA